UGCAGUCGAACGCUGAGCACCAGCUUGCUGGUGUGGAUGAGUGGCGAACGGGUGAKUAAUACGUGAGUAACCUGCCCUUGACUCUGGGAUAAGCCCGGGAAACUGGGUCUAAUACUGGAUGCUACAUGUCACCGCAUGGUGGUGUGUGGAAAGGGUUUACUGGUCUUGGAUGGGCUCACGGCCUAUCAGCUUGUUGGUGAGGUAAUGGCUCACCAAGGCGACGACGGGUAGCCGGCCUGAGAGGGUGACCGGCCACACUGGGACUGAGACACGGCCCAGACUCCUACGGGAGGCAGCAGUGGGGAAUAUUGCACAAUGGGCGAAAGCCUGAUGCAGCGACGCCGCGUGAGGGAUGACGGCCUUCGGGUUGUAAACCUCUUUCAGCAGGGAAGAAGCCACAAGUGACGGUACCUGCAGAAGAAGCGCCGGCUAACUACGUGCCAGCAGCCGCGGUAAUACGUAGGGCGCAAGCGUUGUCCGGAAUUAUUGGGCGUAAAGAGCUCGUAGGCGGUUUGUCGCGUCUGCUGUGAAAGCCCGGGGCUUAACCCCGGGUGUGCAGUGGGUACGGGCAGACUAGAGUGCAGUAGGGGAGACUGGAAUUCCUGGUGUAGCGGUGGAAUGCGCAGAUAUCAGGAGGAACACCGAUGGCGAAGGCAGGUCUCUGGGCUGUUACUGACGCUGAGGAGCGAAAGCAUGGGGAGCGAACAGGAUUAGAUACCCUGGUAGUCCAUGCCGUAAACGUUGGGCACUAGGUGUGGGGGACAUUCCACGUUUUCCGCGCCGUAGCUAACGCAUUAAGUGCCCCGCCUGGGGAGUACGGCCGCAAGGCUAAAACUCAAAGGAAUUGACGGGGGCCCGCACAAGCGGCGGAGCAUGCGGAUUAAUUCGAUGCAACGCGAAGAACCUUACCAAGGCUUGACAUAUACCGGAUCGUUCCAGAGA
RNAcentral lists this ribosomal RNA (942 nucleotides) under Kocuria palustris. RNAcentral's name for it is "bacterial SSU rRNA". The record is from RNAcentral. Lineage: Bacteria; Bacillati; Actinomycetota; Actinomycetes; Micrococcales; Micrococcaceae.